This 484-nucleotide ribosomal RNA is filed under the name uncultured bacterium. RNAcentral's name for it is "partial 16S ribosomal RNA". It matches the Rfam family "Bacterial small subunit ribosomal RNA", at positions 30 to 507 of the family's 1533-position model. The record is from RNAcentral.
AUUGAACGCUGGCGGCAGGCCUAACACAUGCAAGUCGAGCGGAUGAAGGGAGCUUGCUCCAGGAUUCAGCGGCGGACGGGUGAGUAAUGCCUAGGAAUCUGCCUGGUAGUGGGGGAUAACGUCCGGAAACGGGCGCUAAUACCGCAUACGUCCUGAGGGAGAAAGUGGGGGAUCUUCGGACCUCACGCUAUCAGAUGAGCCUAGGUCGGAUUAGCUAGUUGGUGGGGUAAAGGCCUACCAAGGCGACGAUCCGUAACUGGUCUGAGAGGAUGAUCAGUCACACUGGAACUGAGACACGGUCCAGACUCCUACGGGAGGCAGCAGUGGGGAAUAUUGGACAAUGGGCGAAAGCCUGAUCCAGCCAUGCCGCGUGUGUGAAGAAGGUCUUCGGAUUGUAAAGCACUUUAAGUUGGGAGGAAGGGCAGUAAGUUAAUACCUUGCUGCUUUGACGUUACCAACAGAAUAAGCACCGGCUAACUUCGUG